This is a non-coding RNA of Myotis lucifugus (little brown bat), 81 nucleotides long. NCBI's taxonomy places the organism in Eukaryota, Metazoa, Chordata, Mammalia, Chiroptera, Vespertilionidae. The record is from Rfam.
AGACCCAGAAAGAGAAGCAGGGUCUGAUCCGCAGCCUCCGUGGCAGCUGUUGAUCAGCUUUUGCCUCUCUUUCUCUCUGGG